UAGACACCGGGAACGUUUGGGACACCACUUUCCGGGGGCGGAAACUCGCCUGAAGGAGGUGGAAACGGCAUCGGCGUCCUUGGCGGAGAAAGCUGAGGAACGUCUGGCGACGGUGUGCAUACAGAGCAGCCUUUCGGCGGUGCUGGAGGUGGGGGACAUUCUGGUAACGCGGGUGGUGCUGGUGGUGGAGGACAUUCUGGUAACGCGGGUGGUGAAGGUGGGGGAGGAGAAGGCGGCUGAGGUGGCGGCGGUAAGAUCAAUUCCGGCGGUGGCGGAGACGGCAAUGGUUGGCAAGGGUUCUCGCAAGACUCGCAUACGACUGUGCAUGCAAUUUGGUCUUUACUUCUUGUUGAUAUCAAUGUUUC
RNAcentral lists this long non-coding RNA (365 nucleotides) under Citrus sinensis (sweet orange). RNAcentral's name for it is "long non-coding RNA (CSIN_LNC002411)". The record is from RNAcentral. Lineage: Eukaryota; Viridiplantae; Streptophyta; Magnoliopsida; Sapindales; Rutaceae.